RNAcentral lists this non-coding RNA (53 nucleotides) under Prorocentrum micans. The record is from RNAcentral. Lineage: Eukaryota; Dinophyceae; Prorocentrales; Prorocentraceae.
GCGCAUUUCCGCCUUCAGUUCUUGACGCAAUGGGUGACGAUGAGGAUCGCGUG